GAUGAACGCUGGCGGCGUGCCUAAUCCAUGCAAGUCGAGCGAACGAACGAGAAGCUUGCUUCUCUGAUGUUAGCGGCGGACGGGUGAGUAACACGUGGAUAACCUACCUAUAAGACUGGGAUAACUUCGGGAAACCGGAGCUAAUACCGGAUAAUAUUUUGAACCGCAUGGUUCAAAAGUGAAAGACGUUCUUGCUGUCACUUAUAGAUGGAUCCGCGCUGCAUUAGCUAGUUGUUAAGGUAACGGCUUACCAAGGCAACGAUGCAUAGCCGACCUGAGAGGGUGAUCGGCCACACUGGAACUGAGACACGGUCCAGACUCCUACGGGAGGCAGCAGUAGGGAAUCUUCCGCAAUGGGCGAAAGCCUGACGGAGCAACGCCGCGUGAGUGAUGAAGGUCUUCGGAUCGUAAAACUCUGUUAUUAGGGAAGAACAUAUGUGUAAGUAACUGUGCACAUCUUGACGGUACCUAAUCAGAAAGCCACGGCUAACUACGUG
Molecule: ribosomal RNA, 497 nt
Filed under: uncultured bacterium
Lineage: Bacteria
Description: partial 16S ribosomal RNA
Rfam family: Bacterial small subunit ribosomal RNA
Source: RNAcentral